RNAcentral lists this small RNA (519 nucleotides) under Pongo abelii (Sumatran orangutan). RNAcentral describes it as "retained intron". The record is from RNAcentral. Lineage: Eukaryota; Metazoa; Chordata; Mammalia; Primates; Hominidae.
UUUUGUUCUUCAGCUUCAUACAUAUUUUGACUAGAAUAUCUGAAACUAGAUUAAAUAAAGGAGUUGGCCAUUAAUUUUGAAUCACAUUUAUUUUAAUGAAAACUAACUUUUAUUUUUAGGGGUAUCUAACUAUCAAGUUGAAGAAGAUAUAGGAAAGUUGAAGUCUUGUCUCACUGGCUUCCUUCAGGAAUAUGGUUUAUCUGUAAUGGUGAAAGAUGAUUAUGUCCAUGAAUUUUGCCGAUAUGGAGCUGCUGAGCCACAUACCAUUGCUGCAUUCUUGGGGGGAGCUGCUGCUCAAGAGGUCAUCAAAAUAAUCACCAAACAAUUUGUAAUUUUUAAUAAUACUUACAUUUACAGUGGCAUGUCACAAACUUCAGCAACUUUCCAGUUGUAGAGUAAGCACCUUAGGUAGUGUGUUAAUGAUUGAAACUGUAAUUGCCUUUGGGUUGUGCUUUAGUCUGUAAAAUUCUAAAGGAGAGCUGCUAAAUUGUUUACUUAAUAAACAUUUUUCUCAUUUGU